RNAcentral lists this ribosomal RNA (180 nucleotides) under Parabirojimia multinucleata. Its description in RNAcentral is "5.8S ribosomal RNA". The stretch from base 2 to 154 matches the Rfam family "5.8S ribosomal RNA". From Rfam's summary of the family: 5.8S ribosomal RNA (5.8S rRNA) is a component of the large subunit of the eukaryotic ribosome. It is transcribed by RNA polymerase I as part of the 45S precursor that also contains 18S and 28S rRNA. Functionally, it is thought that 5.8S rRNA may be involved in ribosome translocation. Lineage: Eukaryota; Ciliophora; Spirotrichea; Stichotrichida; Parabirojimidae. The record is from RNAcentral.
AAAUUCUCAACGAUGGAUAUCUUGGUUCCCAUAACGAUGAAGAACGCAGCGAAGUGCGAUAAGCAGUGCGAAUUGCAGAACCGUGAGUCAUCAGAUUUUUGAACGCAAUUGGCGCCGGCGGGCCCAUCCUGUCGGCAUGCUUGCUUCAGUGUCUUUUUACCCCCUCACCAAAAGCUCAAU